GGGUGAUAUAAACUUGGAGUUACACCUUUUCUAUUUAGAAAAGGGAUCUAAAACAUGUUCAAGUAUGCAGCAUCUUCAUAAACCUCAGCCACUGGGAAAGGGCAACUUCAUGCAACCAAAUAAUAUGAAAAUCAAAACGCAACCCUUAGAAAAAAGGGUAAAAUGUCAUUUCUGCAAACACAACAGAUAGGAAUGUGAAUAAUGUGCAUACAAACUGGGAUGCUGUUGAUGAUACUAAUGAACAGAUGUGAUGACUCAUAUCAAAUCCAAGAAUAUUAGACAACCAAACAUGUAACCUUCUUGUGUUUUCCCUUAAUAUUCAGCAGUCAUUAUGUUGGUUAAGUCCCUUCACUGGUUUUCUGCAAGUCUGAAGAAGUGUUUCUUGUGUCAUUGCCUGCGUCCCCAGCAUCAGAGCUGCUCUUAUUUUCUUCCUCUUUGCAGUCCUUAUCAUCUUCAUCUCCAGGAGAUUUCCGUGACUGCUUGGAGGAUUUCUUUGAAGUGUAGGAUUUUUUUCGUUUUGAGCCUGCUUUUUCGUUCUUUCUUUUGCCUUUUCCAUCCUCUUCUACCCGAUCACCUUCCUCCUCGCUGCUGGCAUCUGCUGUAUUUCCUCCUUCUCCCUCAGUUUCUGAUGAGCUCUGUUGCUGAAUUGCCUGAUAUCCAGUAAACUUUACUCCAGGGUUGUUUUCUAUUUCCCACAGGCCUUCAUUAAAUCCUUUUCGUUUGUUCGACUUCCCAAACUUAUCUUUGUAUUCUUUAUACGGGAAAAGGUCUUUGGGCCCCAGGAACGCAGUUUCGUGAGUCCCAAAAAAGAAGAUGGGGUAUUUAUUUGCUGGAGGCUUCACGGCUCCUUCAGGGAGUUCAUCAAUCCGGGCCGGCCAGUGCGGGUACCCCUUCAUUUUGGCGAACACCAGGUCUCCAGCCUUGUAUUCUCGGGGCCGCGGACGAGCCAUCGGGAGCCGCCGCGGGAGCCGCCGUCCCCCCCUCCCUCCCUCCCUCCCUCCCACACCCCCCGCGCCCCGCACACGCCGCCCGGGGGCAGCCGGCCGAGCCCCCGCGGGGUGCGAUGCGGCGGGGCGCAGCCGGGAGCGGGGCCGGGCCGCGGGCAAUCCCCGAGCUCUCCGGCGGCGGCGGCGGCAGGAGGAGAUGGGGUGUGUGUGUGAGUGUGAGUGUGUGUGUGUGUGUGUGUGUGUGUGUGUGUGUGUGAGUGUGUACGCGGGGGAGGGGGAGGCCUUGGACACAACCCAGCAGCCCCCGGUACAGGGAGCCGGCUGGCGGCGGGGCGCCUGGCCGGGCGGGGGCGGCCGGGGAGCCCUCACCCCGCGGCGGCGGGCGGGCGCGGCGCUGCCCGCGGCCCCCCCGUGCGAGCUGCUACGCCGCCCGCUCCAUCCCCGCCGCAGCCGCCGCGGCCCCGGGAAUAUGGAGCCGUCUCCUCCGAAUUACUCCUCGGGCAGCGACCGAAAACAGGAUCUUCUUAUCCCCCCCCCACCCCUCCCCUCCGCGCUUCGCCUUCCUGUUAUUUUAUAGGUACACAGAUCGGUUUCUAUGAAAAUAGGAGAGCAGAGAGCGGCUCCAGUCCCUCCCGGCCCUUCCUUCCCCUGCUGAAGCAUGACAUGGUUCUUUAUGCGCGCCUGACAUGGAGGCUGGGCGAGGAGCAGCAGCCGCUGCGCCCUGCGGAUCGCUGCAACCGGGUCCCCGGCUCGCCCGGCCGUGCAGCCCCGUCCCCUGGCACCGAGGCCCGGCCUCGUGGGGGGCUCCGUGGGGUGGCUCCGUGGGGUGCCCCCCAGCACACCCUGCAUAUGGUCUCCCCGUUGCCCGCAGACCCCUGGGCCUGCCCCGGCCCCUUCCACACUGCAGAACGCAGCAGGUCCCAGCGCACAGGCCUGCACCCGUGGCACGCUGGUGGGCAUUCCCAUCUCUGUACCCAUCCUCUCUCCACCAACAACCCUUCCAUGUUCCUCAGCACCCUACAACUCAAAAAAAAAAAAAAAAAAAACCACCACCACCACCAACAAAAAAAACAGCACAGCCACAGCAGCAGAAAGACUGGAGCUGCAGUCCACUGAAAUUCACUUGCAUUCACAACAAGGGCUUGGCCUCAGAGAACAGUUGGGACUUGGCUCUUGCCAGAUAAUGCCAGCUUUAGAAGCAUGCACCUCAGUAGAAGGGAAGCACUGAGGUCUCACAAAUUCCAAACCCAGACAUCACCAUUUUUACCAUGAUGAUACCAGUUCAGUUGUAAGGUUCAGAAAUCAAUUGUUAUUGAUGUUCACUGUACUGAAAUGUUGUCAAGGGAAGCACCUGCAACCUGGCUCAUAAGCAGAAAGGUUUUCCCCUGGGCUUGGAUGGAACUAAAGCAUGCAGGAUGGCAGCUGUCCCCUUUGUGUCUGGGGAGAUAGCUGUGUCUGCGUUCCAUGUCCCAAGAAUGGCAUCUGGCAGCAGGCAGAUGGAGUAGGAAAGAUGGGGCUGGAAGCUGUAUGGUCCUAUCUAGGGAAUGAAGCAAGUGGGCCACAGAACUGCCGGUCUGUAAGGGCAGAGAAAGAAGGGAAGCAAACAUUUCUUGUAGCACCUGGUUUGGGGUUGGAACAGGACUAAGAAACCUCUCACUGCUUGUGGUGUCCCCAGGGAUGGUUGUGGUACCCAAACACUGCUGCCAACAGCGCAUAAGUAAAUAAAGUUUGGCACUUUGGGGUUGUAAAAGAGGGCAUGGACUUCUCUGCUGGGGGAAGCAUUACUGUAAAAUCAUUAACUCAGGUAUCAGUACCAGACUAACAAUGGGAAAAAAUACACAAGAAGCUGAAUAAGCACUUAGGUGAUUGCUCUGCCCUCUGUCAAUGCUGUUAUUUCCCUGAGCAAUCCAGAUCUGUGGCAGUUGCCAACACAGCCACCUUCAGUGUAAACAUGUGGGCUAACAGCCCACUUUCACUUUCACAUCAGAUAGGACUGUGCAUCCUUUUACAUUUAUACCUCAUUUCAGUUUGAAAUCCCUUCCGAACAAAAGUCACACAAAAUCUCUGACCACAGCAGUUGAGGACUCUGAUCUGAGUCUGAAAUAAUUCGGACUGCUGUGCCUUAUCUCCAUACUUCUGCUGUCAUCCAAGGCAGCCUUGUUUCCAUAAUACUUAGGAGAAAAGUAGAGCUGAUUUAUUUAUUUUUUCCUAUCUACACGAUUUGCUUUUCAUUUAGAGGUACUAACAGCUCUUUCUAGCAGCUUAUUUAAUGACCUUAAAUCACAAAUGAGCAGGAUAUGUGCCUAUUUCUUCUAAAAGGAAACUGUAUGGGCUAUAUACAUACACACAUGCGUAUGCAUAUACCUAUGAUAAAUGUAUUGCUAGUUAGAACAGCAAAUUCAAAAUGACUCGAUACUGAACUGAAAUUUCUCAUCAAAACAUUCUCUUUUUAUUUUAAACUUUCAUUCAUCCCAACACUGGUGUCUGUGGAGGAUGCAGUGAAUAACAAUAUUUCUAUUCUGCAGUAUUAGAACUCUAAAGGAAACUCAUCCCAUGGACAUGCAGGGACACAGCUCUCUUUAUCUCUUGCAUAUCAGAUGCAGUGGAUAUGAGUUGCCAAGGUAAGAUUUCAAGGCAAGAACUCUGCUCAGCUUUUACCAGCUGAAAAGUCUUAAAUAUGCUUUGCGAACAGUCCCACCAUCAAGCUGUAGUUAAUAUGCUGAGAAAGGAUGAGAAGCUGCAAAUUUCACUGCUGGUAAAUGAGAAAAGAAAUCAAAUGCUCCACACGUUAACAGCAUGGAAAAUGACCUCAGCAGAAACAAGAAAUGAGUUUCUUAGUGUGCAUAACUCCAUCAGCCACUGAUUACAGCAGACAAAACACGAGACCUGCACGGGGCCUGUUCUGCCAUGUCGCCUGCAAUCUGUCUCCCUCUGAAUGGGACAUUAUCCACCCUUUCCACACAGAAGUGGGAAAGAGAAAUCUGCUUGCCAUCCUCCUGGCCAGGUGUUAUGUUUCCUGAGCAGGACGAUAUGUACAAGUAGGGGAAUGAGCAGGGACAGGGAGUAAAGGCAGAGGCCCCGCAGGGCCAUGCAGAGAAGUGGCAUGGCCAGCCGUGCAGCCAUCACUCACUGAGAUGAGUGGUGGCAGAGGGACCUGUCCUGAAGUUGUGGCCACACUGGUGGAUUUUGCUUUCCCAGGGAUUCCCAGGGAACAGUAUUCUUAAGCUAUGGAGAAGCUUUAAGCCAGUCCUGAUUAUUGCCCGCUGUUCACAUGAGGAGAAAAAUAGCUACGUAACUGGUUGAACAUUCUCACAGGGAACGAAUUCCAUUGAUGGAACGGAGUGUGGAUCAAUCCUUAAGAAAAGUGCACGUGGACAUAAAAGGCCGCCUAAUUUCAAAAGCACCCUCCAAAGUUAUGAUUAAAUUUUUAAACACACGUAAGUUUUGCAUGGAGCACUCCAUGAUCGCGGUUUUACACGCCGUUAUUGGACAUCUGUAUGCCGCCUUCUCUACAGACUUUAUUCAUAUUGCAGUCUUACACUUGCUGCUUUGUGACAUGCUGCUUAUAUAAAGGUACAAAAAUUAUUAUAUUAUAUUGCCUCUGAAAUUCUGUCUCUGGUCAUCUUAUAGCUUUUGCUUUCCCCACUCAAAUCCCUUCUAAGAUCAGCCUAUAGAUGUUCUGCAGCAUGGCCAUGUGUAUAAUGACUGUACUAUAAGAUACCGAAAAAAACCUUCCUUUUACUUGUGUAUCAGUAGCUGAUACAAUUUCCUUUCCUUCUGCAUCUCUUUUUCCUGUAUCUAGAAAUGUGUUAGUGAUGAUCACAAUGAUCAGUAAUUUGCUUAUGUCCACAGUAAGCUAGCCUUAUCUGUUAAAUAUUUUAAUAGGAAAUUGUUCUGAGUCACUACUGAGCCAUUCCCCUGUGCAACACAUGUCUGAGAGCACUGUCUGCAACCGCUGCACUCCUUCAGGUCAGCAGAAAGAUGCCAUAACGUUGUAUGUCCAUCCCAACAUGCACAGAAAGGCACUUACCGUGCCCAUUAGGAUAUUCUUAAUUACUGGAGAUAAGAAGCUCACCAGGGGAUCUCAAACCUUCUCCUUAAUAAGCUUAGAAGGGGGAAGGAUAUGUAUCAUAGCUGGAGCUGGUUAUAUACACCCAGUUUCAUGAAUCUUCUUAGGUUACACACUGGAGCAAUCUCCUAAUCAUAUUAAGUUAGACCAUCUUCAAGGUGAUGGCUUUACAUGUUGCAGAAGUGUGAACGUGUAUCCCAGAGGCUGAAAAGAUUGGAGUACUUCGGUGAAAAUUACCUUCCUGUGUGGCUGGGAGCCUUCUGUUGUUAACUGGAAAGAUUGGUAGGGGACGGAAAUGUUAUUAGCAAGUAUGCACUGCCUCCAUUCCUUGUUCUAUAUUCUGUACUGUGGCUAAAGCUACAGGAGAUAAUAGAUACCUACAGUUAGUGCUGCUUAGCGAUUUCCAGUUCAAACCUUUGCUUUCAGUUGCUUGUAUGUUUUUCAUAAUGUAACCACGAGAACUGAAGUUUUCCAUGAUCAUUGUGCAGCUAAUAAAAAAAACUCCGACAAGUUCUUGACAAUGAUGGUAGAAGAAAUAACUGUAAAAUUACCAAAUUGCCAGGUGCCUUUUGCUGUCCUAAGGGUAUCCAUAGGAAUGUAGCCAAGUUGCAAGACUGCGAGAAGCAUUUGUAUGCACCCAAUAGGGGCUGAUAAACAAGUCUCAGAUGUUCUGUCAGGACUAAACGUGCUCUUAAGCUAAAGUGAAUGUGAUUCAGCUCAGGAGUGGAGACGGCUGUGGAAGCAGUGCUCGUGGAAGGAAAAGAUGGCUGUUUCCCUACUAGUACCCAGACAAUACACCAGGACGGAGUGACCAAUCUAUGCAGAGAGAGAACUGGGAAGAGCUGAAAGGGGAGCAGGGAACAGCUAAAGUCUGGGAAGGUCAUGGGAAAAGCAGUGAGGGAUCAGGUGAUAGGCAAAAGCAGCCACAAGUGGAACAACACAAAGAUUUUGGAACGUCUUAGAAUAUAUAAAAAAGUCCACAUGUAUUCUAACAAAAUUUUGUGGUCCAGUGCGUUUCAUGCUCUGCCUCUAAGUUCUCCAUACAGAGAUAAUGAUCUAUGACUGUGCUGCCAGUAACCCAUCAACUCAAAAGGAAGUCUUGACACUGCAUUCAAAAGCGUCAGACUCUAUGACCUUCUAGAGUCUCUAAAUGAGAAUCAGCCCAAGCUUUUCUAUGGGGGUGAUAACACACAAGCCCAGAAAGAGAUUAUUAAAGAUUGUGUCACAAACCACCCAAGAAGAGAGAAGAAUUGAAGUUGCAUCAGCAACCCGGGCCUGUGUAUUUCCCAACAUUUGACUACCUGAGUAUGCAACUUCCUUGUUCUUUGAAUUUUGUUUUGGGUCAUGUUACAAAAUUUGGCAGCUGUUUGUUGAGAAGCACUCAUCAAAAUUCAGUACUUCCACUAAUAUUCAACAAAUGUAUUUUAUUGAAUAAACUAACACUCAAAAAACAGUAUCAAGGUUAUUGCGUUGGACAGAAGUUGCACAGUCUCCUUACACUUUGUUGUUCCUAUACCUUAAAGAAUUUGGUAGAGAUGUCAUUCAUUACAAUGAAAUUAAUGUAUUUUAAUCUUCAUUUGAUAUACUAAUCUAUAAAAUGCCUUCUAGAAAGUCUGGGUGACAAGCACCAUCUCUAGAGCCAUAAAGCCAUAAUACCUAGGAAGGAAAACCUGCAACUGACAUUUUUCCUCUGGAGACAUAUUUUAAAUGUGUCAUCUAAAGCCCUCAAAAUUUAUUGGGUGAGAAAUAUGUUGAGAAUUGGCAGGAAUAAUAAAUUUAGUGGCAGACUCAUGACACUUAUCCCACUGUAGUUUCCCCUCAUAAAUACUGGAGAAAAGGAUUUCUCUCACAUACCCUUCGGUACAUUCAUCAAAGUGCCUUUUGGAUCAUGCCUUAAUGAAUAAUUACAUUCCAACAUGGACAGCAGAACAUAUUGACUUAAGGAGCUUUGUAACUUUACUUUUAUGUCAACUGAAUGACAGUUCCAGAAAGUGGGGAACAGAAGGAAAUAAUGUGACUUGCAUGUCACCUCUCGAGAUUGUCACUGUUUUGUAUCAAACGUUCCCUCUCAGGAGUAGGUUUGAUGUUGGGAUUUACUCUGGAAUUCACUUGGGUUAAAGAACCUAAGCUUUGAAACUUAUGUUGUAAUGCAGUGUGAUGCAUAGAUACUAUCAUGAGAAAAGUAGUGUAUUAAUUAAUAAUUCUGUCAGAUGUUUCUUCCUAGAUAGCUUGGCAUUGACAUGAGUUUAACAGAAUCCACACUGAGCUACUGGAAUGUCCUCCCAACUCUGCGGAAAUUAGGAUAAAAACUCUUAGUGAGUUUCCCAUGAUGUUACAUCUCAAACUUGUUUUACAUCAUCGUUCUCUGUUCUCAUGGCCAACAUCACCAACCUCUUGUUGACUCAGAUCUAUAAAAUGGGCCUUAUCCUCAGAUCUCUCCACCUCUUUUACCUCAGUUGCUUCCAAAUCUUACUUUGUAUUUAUCUAUGAUAUUUUUUCUUCUCCAUGAGUGCACUUUUCUCCAAGUAUCACUGCUCUGUGUUCUUUUUUGUCCUCUCCUGCUCUUGUUCCCUCUCCAAUCCACACAGAGCAGUGUUCUGCUCUGUGUUCUACACACUGGCUUUACUGGAUCAAGCAUCUUACUGCUUCUUUCUCACCUUCCCACCCUUGUUCCCCUGAGACCUGCUGCCUCAUCCCCCCAGGAUGGUACUAGUGCUCCAGGGGGCUUAGGGUUAAAGACUACAAAAUUAGUGAGGCUGAAGGUAGUCCUCAGAGGCUGUGUGACUGGUGAUACUGAGAGUGAAGACCAUGAGGACCGUCUUCAGUGAUGGAUGCCAGGGUGGGAAUGGACAUAAGGAAAGUCUUGGGCCAGUUUGUGUGGAUUACACUGCACCUGGGGGACUGUAGAGGAAGAAAGCCAUCACUGGCCAGGCAGAAAACACGGCGAAUUAUUUUUUCUCACUUCCUGAGUCCCAUUGAAGGGCUUGGCUCCUUGGGCAGCCACUCCUUUCCUCUCUGGGGCAUGAAAGGGAGCUGGAAGGGAGAGACUGAAGCUGCUGAUCCUACCACCACACUUGGUCUGAAACAUUAUCGCUUAAGCCUUCUGGUGUACUCUGAAAGAUCAGCACACCACCUUGAGCAACACAAGAACUGCUUCCAGCUGGCUCCCAUGAGAACUCCUGGAAAGCACAUUUCUUCACACAUUCCAUAUCCCCACUGCCUCCAGAUCAUGUUUCUUGCAGUGGCCUGCAAGGCUGCCCCUUCCUACCUACAUCUCGUCAUGUGGCAGCCACAUGUUGAUUGUUUCCCUGUUAGCCAUGCCAAACCUAAUAUCCUGCUCACCUAUUUGUCCCUCAGAGAUGUCCAGCCUAUGCUCCCUGCUUGUGACAUGUCCUUCUCACGCUGCUUCUCAAGAAUCAUAACCUCAGUCUUUUGAAUUCCUUUCCCCAAACUCCAUCCUUCUUGGACACUCAGGACAACUGAUUAAGUUUACCACCUUUCUAAUGAGGGAGAGUUAGUGUAGGAAUGUAAAGAGCCUGGAACUGAAAUGGUAUAUAGGAUGAGAAGAAAAGGUCAUGGGUAAGAAAAAAGGAAGUUUGCAUGCUUAAUGACAAUUAAGAUUCUAGCUUGUAAUUGAGAUGACUUUGCCCAGCAUUUCAGCAAUCCCUUUGUUGUAUAAUGUAUCCCUUUCCCCAUGGUCUGACUUUGUUUUCUUCAACGCUGCCCUCUUCAAAGAAGGCACAGUUUUCUUCUUCUGAGUUUGGAAAGUUAUGUGUUUAUAAAUAAUAAAUAGAAUAAUAAUAAAUCAGGGCUACUGCACUUGCUAGCAAACAGCCAAUAUGCACCAGGUCUCUUUGAAGUCAAAGGGGCUGUUUCUGCUGCUCUUUAUGCCACUUUCUCUACUUUGGAUACAAUGAAGUUGAUCCUGUUUCAUAUCACUGAGAAAUGACUUGCUAAAAUGUAAAAUCUCAAUAAGCUGCAAACAUAAUAGAAAUACUACUAAAUGAUAAAUACACAUCCUAACAGAAUUACGGAGAAAAUAUUAUCAGACAAGAAAUUCAUCUGUUUCUUAAGAAGACAAUAUUUAUCUCUAAUUGCAACAUAAUGACCUGGUGAGGAAAUGGCAUGCUUCUGUAUACUUGUUUGUUUUCUUCUUUAGCUUUCACUUUUUUUUUAUGUGGAUGCUAUCUUAUUGAACAGAAAUACCAGUUCAAACCUCACCACUGUAGUUCAUAGAACUACAGUGUUUCAGAAUAAACAGAAAAAUGAUAUCCAUCUUCACUGAGUAGCAGCAAGGGGCUUAGUAUAUUGCUGGAAGACAAGCAUAAAAUAUUUAGGCUGGUUAGUAUUAAGAAAGUCAAAGAGAAUAUUAUGAGAUGAAGCAGCCAAACAGAAUUGGCAAUGAUAGUCUUAUAAUGGAAAGGUAUUUAUAGAGUGUUGCUCCCAUUGGACAGGAUGCUGCUGUCUUACUCAGGCAAAUCCCCCACUGAAAAUUUCAAAGGGCAUAUUGUCUGCCUAGAGAUGAGCAGGGACUUGGGGACUGAAAGUAAUACACGAAACUUCUGUCCAUUCAUGUCAUGCCUAUAUUAAAAGAUUGUAUUGCAUGGUGGUGCAACUGCAGUUCUCCAACUUCUGGGCUCUGUGUGCUUGCCAUACGGGGCAGAGCUGGCUCUACAGAUGUUAAAGUCAGUCUCUGUUGCCCUGUCUGUGCCCACAGAGAAGAAGUUCAAACGUUGACUUUUUGCUAUCCAGUGAUCAACCGUGAAUUUCUGGAGCGUGGCUAGCAGAGGAAAGGCAAGAAAUGGUACAUGUGGUUAGGCACCACAGACCUUUAAUUUAAACUGUGCUGUUCUGAAAGCCCCAGUUUAAACAGAGAGCUUAGCUCUCUGUUGUUCUAGGACUUAGGUGACAUUUUGUAUCCUGAUAACAGGAGAAAAUCCACUCUGCCAUACAUUUCUGGGUCUCAGGCAGCAAUGGCAUGAAAUGGCAGCGGGCUGCAGUGUGUUUCCCCACACAAUGUUCUCCCCUCCCCGCUGCCAGCCUUCCAGAAUAGCUUUUACUUCACACUGGUAGCUUAAGGACCUCACAGUACAUUGACUCCAGCAUCCAACACAGAAGAAUUCAUAUAUAAAGAGUUUACCUGGAUAACAGUAAUGUCCAUAUAACAUUAUAAGAAAUGGGAAGAAUCAAGAUUUAGGGCAGUAGUACGAACCAGUAACAGAAAGUUACUCUGUAAUCGAAAAACAUGAGCUGCUUUACAUCUAGUACUGGCUGUAGACUUGGUGCAAACUUUGCUUGCUUCAACAAUGGGAUUCUCAAUGAAGGCAAAAGAUAUUUCCAUUUUGUGUUCAAUUCACAGAGUUAAUAAAGUGACAGUUGGUACACAAAUUAAAGUGAGGACUUCACUUCUCAGUAAAUAUGUCGUUUACAGUCAUAAUCAUUUAAUAAUAAUUGGCUUUGUAACAAAGGCCACUAGGCCAAAUGCUCUUGGUGUAAUUUUGCUGGCAGCAAUACAAGGAACAAUUUGGCUAGGGUGUACCCGGUCCUCUGUGGCAAAAGGCAACAAAAAGAGGCACACUCACACAAUCUUGUCAAGUGUAAAACCGUUCUGCUCAUUUACAGGCUAUUAAUGAAAAACUAGACAAAUACAUUUCUAUUAAACAUUACUCCAUCUAUAUAUAGAGAGAAAUAUAUGUACAGUGGCAUUCAGUGAAAUAUAAACAGAUAAAGCUGGUAUAAACCUUCAGACAUCAAGAGUGUUACAUACACAUUCCUUGAUGUCACUGCAUGUGAACUCAUUCUCUCUCUGGCACACACACAUGAUAAUGAAGCUACUGGUUCCUACUGAUCCUGAGAAUCCCUGAAGGGCUGGGCAGAGGUCCAAAGAGCUGUAUCAUAGCAGGUCAUUCUGCUACAUAUUUGUCUUUUUGACACUAACAUUUGCCAGAAAAUCCAUCAUUGUCAAUGGAGCACCAUCAUGCAACAUGGUAAUAAGAAUGUUUAUGGGCAGUCUCUGUCAGUGUUUUGCAGAGAAGGAAGUAUUAGAGGGAACACAGAUAGUGCUGCACCCUCUUUUUAACUACCUUGCUUUUUUGGACAAAGCUAUGACACUGAUUCACAGUGCCUUUCUUCUGACAGUAACCACUCUGGUUUAGAUUCUUUCUUCCUUUUAUUUUUUUCUUAGUGAAGUGUCCCACAAGCUCCUUUAUUUGAAGGUUGUGCUUAGAAAACCUAAAAAUAAGGCUUGGAACACCUAAAUGCUUGUCUCCAGAUUCAUGGGAUGUAGUUCAUUGCCAGUCACAUCAAAGGCAGCUGCCCCACUACAUAGCAUGCUCAGCUCCAGUCUGCCACUGAAUGGGCAGGAGUAGGGAGCUGCUGCUCCAGUAAGGAGCAGAAGCCACGUCAGAACAUGUACAGCUGUUAUUACUGUAAUCGAUGGGAAUGUGGGUUAUGCUAUGAUGCUCCUGGGGUCUGGAACUUUAUUACUGCUGUCUAUCUGUAUACUGACUGAAUCGCUCUGAUGUCCUACAAAGAACUCCAAAAAAAUAAAUAGCUGAACAAAAUUAAUGUAGUAGACACCUCUGUAAUGACAAAAUUCUAGAGACAAACUCUUACCUGAAAGUACUAAAGAUGAUGUCUCUUGAUGUUGUCGCCAUACAUUUGAAUAUGCCUAUGCAAUGUCAACAGCUGAAUCUCUACUGGAUUCAGUGGAGUUUUCCCUUUCUGGGCUAACAAAUCUGCUGGGGAUGGGUUUGCUUUCAAAAUGCUAAUUUAUUCCAUCUUUACGGCUGAUUCAUCCUUUUGUUUUUUGGUUAGUUGGAAUUCUUCAACUAGGAGGAAGUGUCAAUAUGGUGACAAAACUAGUUUCACUUCUAAUCUGUUAAACCUACAGAAAACCAGUCCUAUACAAUUGCACACACAUAUGCACUCCUGACACGUGGCUCUUGCUAUUUGGAUAGAAUGCUUUUUUAUCUACAUUUUGGUUUUGCACUAAAGUCAGGGAGGCCCAGCUGGGGGCUCCUGCACUAUAUGAAAGGAUACCGCAGGGCUGCUUUAGUGUAAAAGUAAAACCAGAUGACACCAUGGAAAAAGGGCCACUGGCUUGCCAAAACUGCUACAAUUUCAAAAUUCAGCUACACACUUUUUCAUAUUUAUUUUUUGUCAUUAUUUAUAACAUAAAAAUGCCUUUAAAUUGGCCUUCAAAGCAGACUUUCCAAACAACUUUUUCUUCCCAUUGGACUUCUAAUCAUUUAAUUUCUAAUGUGAAAGAAAAAUAAUGUCUUUCUCUAAAAUAAGCUUGUUUUCAGAAAUACAGUAGGUUUCCUACUUUCCUUACAACACAGAUACUGUGCACAACAGGUAAAAAUGCUAAUCAGAACAACACACAUUUUAAAGCAUUCCACAGAUUGCAUUUCCCUUCCAGCUGUAAUGUCAAUUAUUUCAUCAAAUUUGAGUGCAAGUAAACUUGUGCCCAGUGCUUGAGCCUCUAUGAAAUAAUUGAGUGAAAAUGCAGCUUUGUACAUGCUGUCCUGGGCUGGCCAUGUAUUUCUUUAUGAGCAUUGCUUGUGCUGCCUGUUUUUAUCUAAAAUUGUUAAAAUUAUUUUUGGUUUGCAUCACUAGAAAUUUUAGAAUGUUUUUGCAUGAUGACCCAGAAGCCAAGCACUCAAAACGCUUGGAGUCACAUUUGAAGUCACAUUUCUCCUUCUACACUAAAAUGGCCACCAGAGUGCUUAGGUGACAUAAAAGUCAAUGCAGAUUGCUCACAGGGAAAAACAACACAAAGGUAAGUUCAUGCGCAGCAUUUGGGGGGGAAUGUGUACUUUGUGGGGGAAUGUAUUUCCAUUUACUCUGCAGGCCUAUCACUCAGACCAGCAGAGUCUAUAUUUGUGACCAGAGCUUGUCAAAAACGAGGCACGUAGAGGUUAUGUACAUACAUUACAGUCUACAUCUGGAGAAGUGAACAGUGAAUGCCCGAUAUCACAGCAAAGGCUAUCACAGCGUUAGUUUCAUUUAUGAUUAGCAGUAAAUAACGUAAUAUGUACUUGAGUAAUAUAUUUGCUAUGGCAUAUCAGGGAAGCUAAUCUGAAUAGAUGUGGCUAUACCUGUAAAGUCAUACAUUCUGUAUACCUUAACUAUUCCAAGACCGUAUAUUCUGUUUACCACAAAAACAAUGCUUUAGUUGUAGAUCAAAAAAGAUUCAAACAACUUGUCAGGAAGAAGUUACCAGAGGAUUCUCUGCUGCUUAAACAUCACUAAAAUGGGGAGGCCAGUGGGUUCUUUCCAUAAGACAAUGCCUGCAAGGCUGAUGGUUUCUUCAAAAAAUCUAAAGACGAGCAACCCAGGAAUUCUUAAGACAUAUCUAGGAUACAAUGUGAAAAGUGCUUAGUUAGUGGAAGAGAGACAGAUCCAAGUAAGAUUAUGUGGAACAAAAAAACUCACUGAGAAGGAAUUUUGAACAAGCAGUUGCAUAUAAAGGCUGGGCUUUGGGGCAGGGUGUGGGAUGAAAAAGCUUCAGGCCAAGAUUGUCUGAUUUCUUCUUUAAUCAAGAAGUCUGUGACUGUAUAUUCUGUCAAAUAAAGAGAUGUGUGAACUAAACAUGUCUUCAUAUCCAAACGUUCAGCAUUGGCUAAUAGGGUCAACAGAAGCAGCAGUGUGUUUGUAUGAAAAUUAACUGAAAAAACACCAGCAGACAGAGCCAUAAAAUGCUGCAAAACUGGGAGUUCUGAAUUGCUCUUUAGUCUGAGGGUAAACCAAGAAAGAUUUGGCAGAUUUUUCUAAGGAAAAUGGGAAUUCCACUGGGAAGCUUAUAUUAAAAGUUAAUAUCUCAGCUCCUUCAAGAAGUCUGUCAGCCUGUCACUCACAGAAACCUUUACUAACAUUCCUUGUACACAUGGCCACCAGCUACACUCUGCUUAACUGUAGGCAAAGAAAUCUGUUGUUAUGAAUGGUUAGGGAAAGUGCAUUAAAGGGAUGCCAUCCAGAGGGACCUGGACAGGCUUGAAAAGUGAGCCCAUACAAACUGAAUGGGGUUCAUCAAAGCCUAGUGAAGGUAUUGUUGGGGCAAUGCUGGGUAUGUGUGCAGACUGGGAGAACUCCUAGAGAGCAGCUCUGCAGAGAAGGACUGGGGGGUCCUGGUCCUGGUGGAUGGAAAGCUGGACGCGAGCCAGCAGUGUGUGCUUGCAGCACAGAAGACCAACAGUAUCCGGGGCUGCAUCAACAGAGGGGUGGCAGAGAAGCAAGGGAGAAGACAGUCCUCCAGAUGGGACAGUGUCCAAGCCUGAGGCCCCCUGCACAGGUGGGAAGCAGAGCUGUUGCAGUGGGCCCAGAGGAAAGCCAUGAAGAUAUGCAGAGGGCUGGAGCACCUCUACUAUGAAGAAAAGCUGAGGGAGUUGGACUUGUUCAGCCUGGAGGACAGAAGGCUCUGAGGAGACCUCAUUGCAG
RNAcentral lists this long non-coding RNA (14457 nucleotides) under Gallus gallus (chicken). Lineage: Eukaryota; Metazoa; Chordata; Aves; Galliformes; Phasianidae. The record is from RNAcentral.